Molecule: ribosomal RNA, 545 nt
Filed under: uncultured Gigasporaceae
Lineage: Eukaryota; Fungi; Glomeromycota; Glomeromycetes; Diversisporales; Gigasporaceae
Description: SSU rRNA
Rfam family: Eukaryotic small subunit ribosomal RNA
Source: RNAcentral
UUGGAGGGCAAGUCUGGUGCCAGCAGCCGCGGUAAUUCCAGCUCCAAUAGCGUAUAUUAAAGUUGUUGCAGUUAAAAAGCUCGUAGUUGAAUUUCGGGGUUCUACCGCUGGUCGGGCAAUAGUCUGUACUGGCGUGUAGAAUUUCUACCUUCUGGGGAACUAUCAUGUUAUUUAUUUAGCGUGGUAGGAAACCGGGACCUUUACCUUGAAAAAAUUAGAGUGUUCAAAGCAGGCUUACGUCUGAAUACAUUAGCAUGGAAUAAUGAAAUAGGACGGUGGUCCUGUUUUGUUGGUUUCUGAAUCACCGUAAUGAUUAAUAGGGAUAGUUGGGGGCAUUAGUAUUCAAUUGUCAGAGGUGAAAUUCUUGGAUUUAUUGAAGACUAACUUCUGCGAAAGCAUUUGCCAAGGAUGUUUUCAUUAAUCAAGAACGAAAGUUAGGGGAUCGAAGACGAUCAGAUACCGUCGUAGUCUUAACCAUAAACUAUGCCGACUAGGGAUCGGACGAUGUUAAUUUUUCUUGACUCGUUCGGCGCCUUACGGGAAAC